This 995-nucleotide ribosomal RNA is filed under the name uncultured organism. RNAcentral describes it as "bacterial SSU rRNA". It matches the Rfam family "Bacterial small subunit ribosomal RNA", at positions 418 to 1433 of the family's 1533-position model. The record is from RNAcentral.
UCGGGUCGUAAACGGCUGUCACUCGGGACGAAUAUUGACGGUACCGAGAGAGGAAGCCACGGCUAACUACGUAGCCAGCAGCCGCGGUAAUACGUAGGUAGCGAGCGUUAUUCGGAAUUAUGGGCAUAGAGGUUCUUAGGGGUAAUGUAAGUCCGGUGUGAAAUCUCGAGGCUCAACCUCGAAACUGCAUUGGAAACUGCAUUACUUGAAUGUCAGAGAGGAAAGCGGAAUUCCUGGUGUAGCGGUGGAAUGCGUAGAUAUCAGGAAGAACACCGACGGCGAAGGCAGCUUUCUGGCUGGCAACUGACCCUGAUGAACGAAAGCUAGGGUAGCGAACAGGAUUAGAUACCCUGGUAGUCCUAGCUGUUAACGUUGUGCACUGGAUGUGGGCGGAUUUGGUCCCGUCUGUGUCUGAGCGAAGGCGUUAAGUGCACCGCCUGGGGACUACGGCCGCAAGGCUAAAACUCAAAGGAAUUGACGGGGGCCCGCACAAGCGGUGGAGCAUGUGGCUCAAUUCGAGGCAACGCGAAGAACCUUACCUGGGUUUGACAUAUACCUGACCGCCGGUGAGAGCCGGUUUCUCUUUGAGCAGGUAUACAGGUGCUGCAUGGCUGUCGACAGCUCGUGCUGUGAAGUGUUCGGUUAAGUCCGGCAACGAGCGCAACCCACGCUGUUAGUUACCAUCAGGUAAUGCUGGGGACUCUAACAGGACUGCCCGUGCUAAGCGGGAGGAAGGCGUGGACGACGUCAAGUCCGCAUGGCCCUUACGCCCAGGGCUGCACACGUGCUACAAUGGCCGGUACAGAGGGUCGCCACUCUGCGAAGAGGAGCUAAUCCCGAAAACCGGCCUCAGUUCGGAUUGGAGUCUGCAACCCGACUCCAUGAGGUAGGAAUCGCUAGUAAAGGCGUAUCAGCAACGGCGCAUUGAAUCUGUUCCCGGGCAUGUACACACCGCCCGUCACAUCAUGGAAGCCGGCUGCACCCGAAGUCGCUAU